This 499-nucleotide ribosomal RNA is filed under the name uncultured bacterium. Its description in RNAcentral is "bacterial SSU rRNA". It matches the Rfam family "Bacterial small subunit ribosomal RNA", at positions 29 to 518 of the family's 1533-position model. The record is from RNAcentral.
AUGAACGCUAGCGACAGGCUUAACACAUGCAAGUCAGGGGUAACAGGGUAGCAAUACCGCUGACGACCGGCGCACGGGUGAGUAACGCGUAUGCAACCUGCCUAGUAACUGGGGGAAUAGCUCCCUGAAAGGGGAAUUAACACCGCAUAACACUAUUGAUUCGCAUGGAUUGGUAGUAAAUGUAGCGAUACAGGUUAUAGAUGGGCAUGCGUGACAUUAGCUAGUUGGUGAGGUAACGGCUCACCAAGGCUACGAUGUCUAGGGGUUCUGAGAGGAAGGUCCCCCCACACUGGUACUGAGACACGGACCAGACUCCUACGGGAGGCAGCAGUGAGGAAUAUUGGUCAAUGGGCGCAAGCCUGAACCAGCCAUGUCGCGUGCAGGAAGAACCUGCCCUAUGGGUUGUAAACUGCUUUUAUAGUAGAAGAAACACAUCUACGUGUAGAUGUCUGCCAGUAUACUAUGAAUAAGCAUCGGCUAACUCCGUGCCAGCCGCCGC